Molecule: ribosomal RNA, 2700 nt
Filed under: Escherichia coli
Lineage: Bacteria; Pseudomonadati; Pseudomonadota; Gammaproteobacteria; Enterobacterales; Enterobacteriaceae
Description: bacterial LSU rRNA
Rfam family: Bacterial large subunit ribosomal RNA
Source: RNAcentral
AUAACCGGCGAUUUCCGAAUGGGGAAACCCAGUGUGAUUCGUCACACUAUCAUUAACUGAAUCCAUAGGUUAAUGAGGCGAACCGGGGGAACUGAAACAUCUAAGUACCCCGAGGAAAAGAAAUCAACCGAGAUUCCCCCAGUAGCGGCGAGCGAACGGGGAGCAGCCCAGAGCCUGAAUCAGUGUGUGUGUUAGUGGAAGCGUCUGGAAAGGCGCGCGAUACAGGGUGACAGCCCCGUACACAAAAAUGCACAUGCUGUGAGCUCGAUGAGUAGGGCGGGACACGUGGUAUCCUGUCUGAAUAUGGGGGGACCAUCCUCCAAGGCUAAAUACUCCUGACUGACCGAUAGUGAACCAGUACCGUGAGGGAAAGGCGAAAAGAACCCCGGCGAGGGGAGUGAAAAAGAACCUGAAACCGUGUACGUACAAGCAGUGGGAGCCUCUUUAUGGGGUGACUGCGUACCUUUUGUAUAAUGGGUCAGCGACUUAUAUUCUGUAGCAAGGUUAACCGAAUAGGGGAGCCGAAGGGAAACCGAGUCUUAACUGGGCGUUAAGUUGCAGGGUAUAGACCCGAAACCCGGUGAUCUAGCCAUGGGCAGGUUGAAGGUUGGGUAACACUAACUGGAGGACCGAACCGACUAAUGUUGAAAAAUUAGCGGAUGACUUGUGGCUGGGGGUGAAAGGCCAAUCAAACCGGGAGAUAGCUGGUUCUCCCCGAAAGCUAUUUAGGUAGCGCCUCGUGAAUUCAUCUCCGGGGGUAGAGCACUGUUUCGGCAAGGGGGUCAUCCCGACUUACCAACCCGAUGCAAACUGCGAAUACCGGAGAAUGUUAUCACGGGAGACACACGGCGGGUGCUAACGUCCGUCGUGAAGAGGGAAACAACCCAGACCGCCAGCUAAGGUCCCAAAGUCAUGGUUAAGUGGGAAACGAUGUGGGAAGGCCCAGACAGCCAGGAUGUUGGCUUAGAAGCAGCCAUCAUUUAAAGAAAGCGUAAUAGCUCACUGGUCGAGUCGGCCUGCGCGGAAGAUGUAACGGGGCUAAACCAUGCACCGAAGCUGCGGCAGCGACGCUUUGCGUUGUUGGGUAGGGGAGCGUUCUGUAAGCCUGUGAAGGUGUACUGUGAGGUAUGCUGGAGGUAUCAGAAGUGCGAAUGCUGACAUAAGUAACGAUAAAGCGGGUGAAAAGCCCGCUCGCCGGAAGACCAAGGGUUCCUGUCCAACGUUAAUCGGGGCAGGGUGAGUCGACCCCUAAGGCGAGGCCGAAAGGCGUAGUCGAUGGGAAACAGGUUAAUAUUCCUGUACUUGGUGUUACUGCGAAGGGGGGACGGAGAAGGCUAUGUUGGCCGGGCGACGGUUGUCCCGGUUUAAGCGUGUAGGCUGGUUUUCCAGGCAAAUCCGGAAAAUCAAGGCUGAGGCGUGAUGACGAGGCACUACGGUGCUGAAGCAACAAAUGCCCUGCUUCCAGGAAAAGCCUCUAAGCAUCAGGUAACAUCAAAUCGUACCCCAAACCGACACAGGUGGUCAGGUAGAGAAUACCAAGGCGCUUGAGAGAACUCGGGUGAAGGAACUAGGCAAAAUGGUGCCGUAACUUCGGGAGAAGGCACGCUGAUAUGUAGGUGAAGCGACUUGCUCGUGGAGCUGAAAUCAGUCGAAGAUACCAGCUGGCUGCAACUGUUUAUUAAAAACACAGCACUGUGCAAACACGAAAGUGGACGUAUACGGUGUGACGCCUGCCCGGUGCCGGAAGGUUAAUUGAUGGGGUUAGCGGUAACGCGAAGCUCUUGAUCGAAGCCCCGGUAAACGGCGGCCGUAACUAUAACGGUCCUAAGGUAGCGAAAUUCCUUGUCGGGUAAGUUCCGACCUGCACGAAUGGCGUAAUGAUGGCCAGGCUGUCUCCACCCGAGACUCAGUGAAAUUGAACUCGCUGUGAAGAUGCAGUGUACCCGCGGCAAGACGGAAAGACCCCGUGAACCUUUACUAUAGCUUGACACUGAACAUUGAGCCUUGAUGUGUAGGAUAGGUGGGAGGCUUUGAAGUGUGGACGCCAGUCUGCAUGGAGCCGGCCUUGAAAUACCACCCUUUAAUGUUUGAUGUUCUAACGUUGACCCGUGAUCCGGGUUGCGGACAGUGUCUGGUGGGUAGUUUGACUGGGGCGGUCUCCUCCUAAAGAGUAACGGAGGAGCACGAAGGUUGGCUAAUCCUGGUCGGACAUCAGGAGGUUAGUGCAAUGGCAUAAGCCAGCUUGACUGCGAGCGUGACGGCGCGAGCAGGUGCGAAAGCAGGUCAUAGUGAUCCGGUGGUUCUGAAUGGAAGGGCCAUCGCUCAACGGAUAAAAGGUACUCCGGGGAUAACAGGCUGAUACCGCCCAAGAGUUCAUAUCGACGGCGGUGUUUGGCACCUCGAUGUCGGCUCAUCACAUCCUGGGGCUGAAGUAGGUCCCAAGGGUAUGGCUGUUCGCCAUUUAAAGUGGUACGCGAGCUGGGUUUAGAACGUCGUGAGACAGUUCGGUCCCUAUCUGCCGUGGGCGCUGGAGAACUGAGGGGGGCUGCUCCUAGUACGAGAGGACCGGAGUGGACGCAUCACUGGUGUUCGGGUUGUCAUGCCAAUGGCACUGCCCGGUAGCUAAAUGCGGAAGAGAUAAGUGCUGAAAGCAUCUAAGCACGAAACUUGCCCCGAGAUGAGUUCUCCCUGACUCCUUGA